Molecule: ribosomal RNA, 455 nt
Filed under: uncultured organism
Description: partial 16S ribosomal RNA
Rfam family: Bacterial small subunit ribosomal RNA
Source: RNAcentral
ACGUACACUCCUACGGGAGGCAGCAGUGGGGAAUAUUGGACAAUGGGCGCAAGCCUGAUCCAGCCAUGCCGCGUGAGUGAUGAAGGCCCUAGGGUUGUAAAGCUCUUUCACCGGUGAAGAUAAUGACGGUAACCGGAGAAGAAGCCCCGACUAACUUCGUGCCAGCAGCCGCGGUAAUACGAAGGGGGCUAGCGUUGUUCGGAUUUACUGGGCGUAAAGCGCACGUAGGCGGACUAUUAAGUCAGGGGUGAAAUCCCGGGGCUCAACCCCGGAACUGCCUUUGAUACUGGUAGUCUUGAGUUCGAGAGAGGUGAGUGGAAUUCCGAGUGUAGAGGUGAAAUUCGUAGAUAUUCGGAGGAACACCAGUGGCGAAGGCGGCUCACUGGCUCGAUACUGACGCUGAGGUGCGAAAGCGUGGGGAGCAAACAGGAUUAGAAACCCGGGUAGUCCCAUGA